GUUGGUAAGGUAACGGCUUACCAAGGCAGCGAUAGGUAGGGGUCCUGAGAGGGAGAUCCCCCACACUGGUACUGAGACACGGACCAGACUCCUACGGGAGGCAGCAGUGAGGAAUAUUGGACAAUGGGCGAGAGCCUGAUCCAGCCAUGCCGCGUGCAGGAAGACUGCCCUAUGGGUUGUAAACUGCUUUUACAGAGGAAGAACCACCCCCACGUGUGGGGGUUUGACGGUACUCUGCGAAUAAGGAUCGGCUAACUCCGUGCCAGCAGCCGCGGUAAUACGGAGGAUCCAAGCGUUAUCCGGAAUCAUUGGGUUUAAAGGGUCCGUAGGCGGGCAGUUAAGUCAGUGGUGAAAGUCUUCCGCUCAACGGGAGAACUGCCAUUGAUACUGAUUGUCUUGAGUUAUUAUGAAGUGGUUAGAAUGAGUAGUGUAGCGGUGAAAUGCAUAGAUAUUACUCAGAAUACCGAUUGCGAAGGCAGAUCACUAAUAAUAUACUGACGCUGAUGGACGAAAGCGUAGGUAGCGAACAGGAUUAGAUACCCUGGUAGUCUACGCCGUAAACGAUGGUUACUAGCUGUUCGGAUCGAUUGAGAUCUGAGUGGUUAAGCGAAAGUGAUAAGUAACCCACCUGGGGAGUACGUUCGCAAGAAUGAAACUCAAAGGAAUUGACGGGGGCCCGCACNAGCGGUGGAGCAUGUGGUUUAAUUCGAUGAUACGCGAGGAACCUUACCAGGGCUUAAAUGUAGUCUGACAGGGGUGGAAACACUCUUUUCUUCGGACAGAUUACAAGGUGCUGCAUGGUUGUCGUCAGCUCGUGCCGUGAGGUGUCAGGUUAAGUCCUAUAACGAGCGCAACCCCUGUGGUUAGUUGCCAGCGAGUAAUGUCGGGAACUCUAGCCAGACUGCCGGUGCAAACCGCGAGGAAGGUGGGGAUGACGUCAAAUCAUCACGGCCCUUACGUCCUGGGCCACACACGUGCUACAAUGGUAGGGACAGAGAGCAGCCACUUCGCGAGAAGGAGCGAAUCUACAAACCCUAUCACAGUUCGGAUCGCAGUCUGCAACUCGACUGCGUGAAGCUGGAAUCGCUAGUAAUCGCAUAUCAGCCAUGAUGCGGUGAAUACGUUCCCGGGCCUUGUACACACCGCCCGUCAAGCCAUGGAAGCCGGGGGUACCUNAAGUCGGUCACCGCAAGGA
This 1195-nucleotide ribosomal RNA is filed under the name Salegentibacter salinarum. RNAcentral describes it as "bacterial SSU rRNA". It matches the Rfam family "Bacterial small subunit ribosomal RNA", at positions 248 to 1451 of the family's 1533-position model. Lineage: Bacteria; Pseudomonadati; Bacteroidota; Flavobacteriia; Flavobacteriales; Flavobacteriaceae. The record is from RNAcentral.